GUGCUCGCUUUGGCAGCACAUAUACUAAAACUGGAACGAUACAGAGAAGAUUAGCAUGGUUCCUGCACAAGGAUGACACACAGAUUUGUGAAUCGGUCCAUAUUUUA
Rattus rattus (black rat) is the source of this 107-nucleotide small nuclear RNA. NCBI's taxonomy places the organism in Eukaryota, Metazoa, Chordata, Mammalia, Rodentia, Muridae. The record is from RefSeq and is a predicted model, not a curated record.